Talpa occidentalis (Iberian mole) is the source of this 211-nucleotide long non-coding RNA. RefSeq lists it as uncharacterized. The record is from RefSeq and is a predicted model, not a curated record. The transcript is spliced from 3 exons. NCBI's taxonomy places the organism in Eukaryota, Metazoa, Chordata, Mammalia, Eulipotyphla, Talpidae.
UGUCACUGGCAAACGAGUUGAAGCCUGUUGAACAACAAACGUCAUUGCUACACGAUAGCAUUAAAUGCCAAUAUUUAAAGCUUCCAGAGAAAACAUGUGCCAAGAGGAUGCUCAGGUGUCCUAUUGGAAAUUCUAGGCCUGUGUGCUCAGCAGUGAUUAUCCCAGAGCAGCUUUUGAGAGAUGGCACAUCAAAAUAAUUUGUAUACCUGAG